CUGGAAAGGCGCGCGAUACAGGGUGACAGCCCCGUACACAAAAAUGCACAUAUUGUGAGCUCGAUGAGUAGGGCGGGACACGUGGUAUCCUGUCUGAAUAUGGGGGGACCAUCCUCCAAGGCUAAAUACUCCUGACUGACCGAUAGUGAACCAGUACCGUGAGGGAAAGGCGAAAAGAACCCCGGCGAGGGGAGUGAAAAAGAACCUGAAACCGUGUACGUACAAGCAGUGGGAGCACGCUUAGGCGUGUGACUGCGUACCUUUUGUAUAAUGGGUCAGCGACUUAUAUUCUGUAGCAAGGUUAACCGAAUAGGGGAGCCGAAGGGAAACCGAGUCUUAACUGGGCGUUAAGUUGCAGGGUAUAGACCCGAAACCCGGUGAUCUAGCCAUGGGCAGGUUGAAGGUUGGGUAACACUAACUGGAGGACCGAACCGACUAAUGUUGAAAAAUUAGCGGAUGACUUGUGGCUGGGGGUGAAAGGCCAAUCAAACCGGGAGAUAGCUGGUUCUCCCCGAAAGCUAUUUAGGUAGCGCCUCGUGAAUUCAUCUCCGGGGGUAGAGCACUGUUUCGGCAAGGGGGUCAUCCCGACUUACCAACCCGAUGCAAACUGCGAAUACCGGAGAAUGUUAUCACGGGAGACACACGGCGGGUGCUAACGUCCGUCGUGAAGAGGGAAACAACCCAGACCGCCAGCUAAGGUCCCAAAGUCAUGGUUAAGUGGGAAACGAUGUGGGAAGGCCCAGACAGCCAGGAUGUUGGCUUAGAAGCAGCCAUCAUUUAAAGAAAGCGUAAUAGCUCACUGGUCGAGUCGGCCUGCGCGGAAGAUGUAACGGGGCUAAACCAUGCACCGAAGCUGCGGCAGCGACACUAUGUGUUGUUGGGUAGGGGAGCGUUCUGUAAGCCUGUGAAGGUGUGCUGUGAGGCAUGCUGGAGGUAUCAGAAGUGCGAAUGCUGACAUAAGUAACGAUAAAGCGGGUGAAAAGCCCGCUCGCCGGAAGACCAAGGGUUCCUGUCCAACGUUAAUCGGGGCAGGGUGAGUCGACC
This 1044-nucleotide ribosomal RNA is filed under the name Escherichia coli. Its description in RNAcentral is "partial 23S ribosomal RNA". It matches the Rfam family "Bacterial large subunit ribosomal RNA", at positions 342 to 1389 of the family's 2925-position model. The record is from RNAcentral. Lineage: Bacteria; Pseudomonadati; Pseudomonadota; Gammaproteobacteria; Enterobacterales; Enterobacteriaceae.